Molecule: ribosomal RNA, 254 nt
Filed under: uncultured bacterium
Lineage: Bacteria
Description: partial 16S ribosomal RNA
Rfam family: Bacterial small subunit ribosomal RNA
Source: RNAcentral
UACGUAGGGCGCAAGCGUUGUCCGGAAUUAUUGGGCGUAAAGAGCUCGUAGGCGGUUUGUCGCGUCUGCUGUGAAAACCUGAAGGCUCAACCUCGGGCUUGCAGUGGGUACGGGCAGACUAGAGUGCGGUAGGGGUGACUGGAAUUCCUGGUGUAGCGGUGAAAUGCGCAGAUAUCAGGAGGAACACCGGUGGCGAAGGCGGGUCUCUGGGCCGAUACUGACGCUGAGGAGCGAAAGCCGUGGGAGCGAACAGG